Molecule: ribosomal RNA, 603 nt
Filed under: Desulfoluna spongiiphila
Lineage: Bacteria; Pseudomonadati; Thermodesulfobacteriota; Desulfobacteria; Desulfobacterales; Desulfolunaceae
Description: bacterial SSU rRNA
Rfam family: Bacterial small subunit ribosomal RNA
Source: RNAcentral
UUUAAUUGGAGAGUUUGAUCCUGGCUCAGAAUGAACGCUGGCGGCGUGCUUAACACAUGCAAGUCGAACGAGAAAGUUUUCUUCGGAAAACGAGUAAAGUGGCGCACGGGUGAGUAACGCGUGAAUAAUCUACCCCUGAAUUUGGGAUAACAGUUCGAAAGGGCUGCUAAUACCGGAUGACAUAACCCUUACCACGGUUUGGGUUAUCAAAGAGGGCCUCUCCUUGGAAGCUCUUGUUUGGGGAUGAGUUCGCGUACCAUUAGCUUGUUGGUGGGGUAAUGGCCUACCAAGGCUUCGAUGGUUAGCUGGUCUGAGAGGAUGAUCAGCCACACUGGAACUGACACACGGUCCAGACUCCUACGGGAGGCAGCAGUGAGGAAUUUUGCGCAAUGGGGGAAACCCUGACGCAGCAACGCCGCGUGAGUGAUGAAGGCUCUUGGGUCGUAAAGCUCUGUCAAGUGGGAAGAAACCUUCCUUAUUUAAUAGAUAAGGGAAUUGACGGUACCACUGAAGGAAGCACCGGCUAACUCCGUGCCAGCAGCCGCGGUAACACGGGGGGUGCAAGCGUUAUUCGGAAUUAUUGGGCGUAAAGGGCGCGUAGGC